UACGUAGGGGGCAAGCGUUGUCCGGAAUCAUUGGGCGUAAAGCGCGCGUAGGCGGCCCGGUAAGUCCGCUGUAAAAGUCCAGGGCUCAACCCUGGAAAGCCGGUGGAUACUGUCGGGCUAGAGUCCGGAAGAGGCGAGUGGAAUUCCUGGUGUAGCGGUGAAAUGCGCAGAUAUCAGGAGGAACACCAAUUGCGAAGGCAGCUCGCUGGGACGUAACUGACGCUGAGACGCGAAAGCGUGGGGAGCAAACAGG
RNAcentral lists this ribosomal RNA (253 nucleotides) under uncultured bacterium. RNAcentral's name for it is "partial 16S ribosomal RNA". It matches the Rfam family "Bacterial small subunit ribosomal RNA", at positions 524 to 776 of the family's 1533-position model. The record is from RNAcentral.